This 540-nucleotide ribosomal RNA is filed under the name Bifidobacterium adolescentis. RNAcentral describes it as "bacterial SSU rRNA". It matches the Rfam family "Bacterial small subunit ribosomal RNA", at positions 161 to 711 of the family's 1533-position model. Lineage: Bacteria; Bacillati; Actinomycetota; Actinomycetes; Bifidobacteriales; Bifidobacteriaceae. The record is from RNAcentral.
UGGUAAUGCCGGAUGCUCCAGUUGGAUGCAUGUCCUUCUGGGAAAGAUUCAUCGGUAUGGGAUGGGGUCGCGUCCUAUCAGCUUGAUGGCGGGGUAACGGCCCACCAUGGCUUCGACGGGUAGCCGGCCUGAGAGGGCGACCGGCCACAUUGGGACUGAGAUACGGCCCAGACUCCUACGGGAGGCAGCAGUGGGGAAUAUUGCACAAUGGGCGCAAGCCUGAUGCAGCGACGCCGCGUGCGGGAUGACGGCCUUCGGGUUGUAAACCGCUUUUGACUGGGAGCAAGCCCUUCGGGGUGAGUGUACCUUUCGAAUAAGCACCGGCUAACUACGUGCCAGCAGCCGCGGUAAUACGUAGGGUGCAAGCGUUAUCCGGAAUUAUUGGGCGUAAAGGGCUCGUAGGCGGUUCGUCGCGUCCGGUGUGAAAGUCCAUCGCUUAACGGUGGAUCCGCGCCGGGUACGGGCGGGCUUGAGUGCGGUAGGGGAGACUGGAAUUCCCGGUGUAACGGUGGAAUGUGUAGAUAUCGGGAAAGAACACCA